AAAAAAGCGAUGACGUCACCUCCUUCAUAGAGUAGUGCGGGAAGCUGAUGGCGCUGAACACCUGGCCGAACAUGUGGAAGGCAUUGAAAAUGUUAGGGAUACACACCGCCACCAACAAGCGCUUCUGAAACGCCCCAAAUUCGCCGACGGCCGAGAGAAUCUCCGUGAAGUCGAUCAUGAUCUUCUGGUGACCAUCAGAAGCGACGGCGCGCUUUUAAACGGAGGAAAAUUAAUUUUUAAUCUUGUCACAGGUCCAAUAGUGUCUGGCAUUAUCUGCGCAGGCGAGCAGGUAAGAUAAAACGUUAAAAGAAACUGCAGGAAGGACAAUAUAAAAGUAUUUUUCUAUUUGAAUAUUACACAAUGUUUCAUCCUAUCCAAUGUAUGUAUUUGGAGUGAGGCUGUUUCUAACGAUUGAAUGUAACGAGGAAUGUCUGCAGUGUUUAUUUACAUUGUGUGUGUGUGUGUGUGUGUGUGUGAAUGAUGAACCCAAUACAGGCCUUUCUUUUUUUGCCAAUGAAGGCGGUCUUAAUAGUGUGGUAAUGAAGAUGUUUGCGAGGCC
RNAcentral lists this long non-coding RNA (559 nucleotides) under Danio rerio (zebrafish). Its description in RNAcentral is "si:ch211-179l5.6 (ENSDARG00000096080.2)". The record is from RNAcentral. Lineage: Eukaryota; Metazoa; Chordata; Actinopteri; Cypriniformes; Danionidae.